This 496-nucleotide ribosomal RNA is filed under the name uncultured bacterium. Its description in RNAcentral is "partial 16S ribosomal RNA". It matches the Rfam family "Bacterial small subunit ribosomal RNA", at positions 28 to 506 of the family's 1533-position model. The record is from RNAcentral.
GAUGAACGCUGGCGGCGUGCCUAAUACAUGCAAGUCGAGCGAACAGACGAGGAGCUUGCUCCUCUGACGUUAGCGGCGGACGGGUGAGUAACACGUGGAUAACCUACCUAUAAGACUGGGAUAACUUCGGGAAACCGGAGCUAAUACCGGAUAAUAUAUUGAACCGCAUGGUUCAAUAGUGAAAGACGGUUUUGCUGUCACUUAUAGAUGGAUCCGCGCCGCAUUAGCUAGUUGGUAAGGUAACGGCUUACCAAGGCAACGAUGCGUAGCCGGCCUGAGAGGGGGUGCGGCCACCCGGAACCUGAAACACGGCCCAACCCCCUAGGGGGGGCAGGAGGAGGGAAUCUUCCGCAAGGGGGGAAAGCCUGGGGGGGCAACGCCGGGGGGGUGAUGAAGGUUUUCGGAUCGAAAAACUUUUUUAUGAGGGAAAAAAAAAGUUGAAAGUAACUUUGCCCGUUUGGACGGUACCUAAUAAAAAAGCCCCGGCAAACUAGGU